Long non-coding RNA from Pan troglodytes (chimpanzee), 481 nucleotides. RefSeq lists it as uncharacterized. Lineage: Eukaryota; Metazoa; Chordata; Mammalia; Primates; Hominidae. The transcript has 3 exons. The record is from RefSeq and is a predicted model, not a curated record.
GUUUUAUACAGUGGAACCCAUACCCAGAGAUUCUGUUUCAGAAGAUUUGGGAUAGAUGCAGAAAUCUGCAUUUUAAACAAGCUACUCAGAUGAUUCUAAUGCAGGUGUUUUUCAUGCACCAUCUCACUGAGACCUCAACAAAGUUUUUAUGAGUUCUGUCUCUGGUGUGGUCUAAUGUAGCAGCACCAUUACUGUUCCUGAGUAAAAGCAUCCCGAUCUUGGGUUUUUGGUAUCACUGUGAAUUUCUGCUCAAAAGUAGCAAGAUCUCUUGGACAGUGGCUGCUUCCAUGUCAGGGGCUGAAGGAGUGAAGAUGGUCCUGGAACUUUUCUUUGCAGAGAAGCAAGGAGGGGAUGCCUUCAAAGUUCUGAUGGAGCUGAACAAAGAAGCCAGCUUACAGCUUACUGGCCAAGGUUUAACAACUUGAGCAUCAAAAUGGAAAAUACAAAUUGUAAUUAAUUAAAACAAGUAGACUGUGAAAAA